UAAAUGCAGUUGCAAUUACAACGGUAUUGAAAUAAUAAUAAAGCAGUAAAGGAGCAGUUAAAAGAAAGGAAAGACAUGAAGACCCAAGUUAGUUUUCGUGAUGAAAUAAUCAAAGGGGCAAGAAGUAAAGGCACUUAAUGAAGCAAUAAGGUCACAAAAAGCAUGUAAUGGUAAAAAGCCUAAGGAAAUCCCCAGCAGAUUCACCAUGCUGUUGACGUUUCCUCUUUCUAUCGCGGACGGGCUGUCCGUAAAUCAGGUGUACGACAUUAUGGGAGGGAAACUCUUCUUCUCUUGCGAGAAUUGGGUUAUGGAAUUUUAUAGAGUCGCCAACUAAUGAUUGUAGUUCAUUAUGACACUUUAAUAGGUGAAGAAUUUUGAGAAGAAGGAAACCACAGUUCGGGUAAGGGCUUAGAGAUUAUCUCGAGGGGAAGGUGUAAGGCACCCCUCAAGAUCCACUAGUGUGGUUCCCGGCCAUGCUAUAGUUGUGACUUUAAGAAAAUAGAAGAAGCAAGUAAAGUUUGCACAUAAGGAUCACCAAAAAAAUUUGAAAGCUUAAAUAAAAGAAAGGAAUACAAUUUUAGAAAAAGGGAUUAUUUGAAGAAAACAUAAUUUAAAGAAAUAUUUGCAAGAAAAGGGAAAGAGGUCCUAGGUUUAUACAAAAUAUGAAUCACAUCAAUGCAAUAUCUAGAAAUCACUCCUCAAAAGAGGGGUCACACCUGAUAUUAGCGCACCGGUCAUCAUAUCCAUAUUCUACCCUUCCCACCCCGUUAAGGUAUUUAAAUGCGAUUAGUCUCGUUUACUUAUUUCAUCCUAAUACCCAUCCCAACCUAUUAGUCCCGAGGUAUUAGGACUUUUAAUCCUAAAGGGGAAAGAAAGGGAUUAAAGCAUAUAUGGGGUUCAAAGGAUAAAAAUCUAAUUUUGACAUACAAAAAAAAGUGACAAGUAGAGGGAUGAACAAACAAAUUGGUAAGACUCAAGUAAUCCCCUUAAUAAAACAAACACUUAGUUUAGCAUGUCAUGGCACAUACUGAUUUGGUCUUUAAAAUAAACUUAAACAGUGAACGAACUGGUUUAACACAUAUAUUUAGAUAGAAAGUCUGCAUUAGGAAACUUUGAUCCGAUUGCCAGAAAUUAAGGUACUUUAAGCGACUGAUUUAAAAGGUACUGAUUUUAGUAAGAAGUAGUCUAAUAUAGAAGAGCUUUGAAAAGAAAGCAUAGACUGCAGUAAAUUGAGAAAAAGAAAAUCAUCAGACUCUGAGUAUAAAAACACAGAAAUGGUUGUGAAAGAGUUUCAGAGACAGAAAUAUUUAAGGAAAGGGUAAGUUGCAAAACUUUUUUAAAAGACAAUUUCAGGGUAAGUGUAAAAUAUUUAGGCAGAAUGUUUAGAAAGAAACUAUUUCAGAAAAGAUGCCGAUUUGAGGAACUUAAAAGUAUACUGGUUCAAAAGAGUUUUUGUCAAUGUAUUAAGGCUUUCGAAAACAUUACUGUAUUAAGACAUUAAGGACCGGUUAAUCGGUCAUUAUUACUUUAAGCAAAUCAGACGAGUUUGAUGCAAGUCUUAUGGGCAUGAUAUCUAUACUUUAAUUUUUUAAAGCAUGUUAAGGAAUUUAUGAAUAAAUGAUUGUACCCUACGUUUUGCCUAAUGCAUAUGCAUUCCUUAUAGGCAUGAUUUCUAUAUGCAUUGAUUACCUGAACAUUAAGUCCUACAGGCAUGAUUUUUAUAUGACUUGGAAUCAGAAAUUUUGAACAAUCCUAUAGGCAGGAUUUCUAGAAGAAUUAAAAUCCUAAAGCAUGGUUUCUACCCCUUUUGAUACAUGAAUGUAAAACCUGCCCACACCCUUUUACUAUAUUCCCCAAGUUCUUUAUACAAACUAUUACAGACCAAAAGAAAGAAAGAAAAUACAUUAAAAACUAACAGCCAGAUCCGAGCAGCCUAAUUCAAUCUUAAUGUCCAAUAACAUGUGAUUAACCAAUUUCGGAAUCCAGAUUUCCAAAGCCUUCUCUUUAUCCAAAGUGUUUCAAAGUUCCAAUGAACAUCAAGGACUCCCGUCGUUGCUUACACUCAGGAUACCAUUAAGAAUUAGAAUAGUGCAGUGCGGAUUAGCCACCCCUCAGGCAUCCACAUUCAGAUGGAGCUCCAGGGUCCCAAAGCAUGGCCUGCAAGAGAAGGGUGGAACUUAGAGCUAGGAGUAAGUGCAAAGUGAAAAGUAAUUGGGGAGCCAUAACAAAUGGUGGUCAUACCCAGACACAGGUGCAGACUGGCACACCCUUGACCAUUUGUUUGGUUAAAACAAGUUAGGAGCAGACCUUAAAGGUCAAACCUAAGUCUGGAUAGUGAUUAGGACACCACCAGACUCAAGUCUAGGCUCAAGCCCAUAAAAGGGAAAAGGGAGGGGGAAUUGAUUGAGUUAGGAGGUUCAAAGAACCCAGUUCAGAGUCAUAGACAACAAUAUCAAAGUGUUGUUAUGGCUAGAACUAUACUCACAUACAAAGGGGAAAGGGAAAUGGGUUCACAUAAGAGAAGUAGUAACAGGAUUGAAGAAACAUAGUGAGGAAAACACAACAAACUUAGAAAGUGAACAUGUAGUGGAAGAGCCUUAUUUAAAUUAAAAUAAAAUACCAGCUACAAAGUGAUAACAAGCAGAACAAUAGAGCAAUUAUGGCUGGUAAACACAACAGGAGUAGACUUAAGUUCAGCAGAACACUUGAGAGUUUAGAGAGAGCUCAAAAAUUGUUUCAGAAAGCACAAAGUAGAAAAAGAGAGUACAAUUUUUUUGUGAAAGAACUCAGUAUUCAAGUGUGUAACAACCUGUGCUUUUGUGCAGAAAAUUAUGUGAAAGCAUGUCCUUUAGUGCAAAAGGGCAGGCCCUUUUAUAGUGCAGAAGGUGAGUAAGAAAAGGUAUGAGAAUAGUUUUGAAAUCAAUCACAAGUUGUUUCCUUUAAAUUAAGGGAUUUGAUUCAAACGGGAAAAAUAAAUAAGGAAAGGAUUUGUACUAAAGAUCUUUUCUAAAGCAGUGUAAUAGAGAUAAAUACAGAGAAGUUUAAUUAAGGAAAUAGUCUACUAGUACACGGUUUGGGUAGAACAAGGAAAGAUAAUCAAUCAACAGCCUGUAAAAUCAGGAUUCGAAUCUUAGUGUGAAUGAAUCCAACCAGAAAAAGGUGAGAAGGGGUUUGAUUUAAAGAAAAUCAACAACACACAAUCAAACCUUUUAAAAAGGAACUCAAAAUCAAUCACAAGCUGGCCAAAGGCCUUUUGAAAGAGGGAGUUUUUAAUAUAAAAAGCAUACAGACAUGUGAGACAAUAGAGAGUUGUCGUAAAACUAGCAAGAAAUCGGAGUUACCAAGAAGGUUAGGUUCAUAGACUCAGAAUGAGUCUGAAAGAUAGUCAAUGGUUCUGAAUGGAACCCUAGACCAAACACAAAGUCAAGCCUGCUAAAAGCCCCAAAUACUAGGGUUUCUGACUCGAAUCAUAUACAUAGACGAGUAAACAACAAAUAGAACAGGCUCAGAAGUCUCUUUCGGAGACUUAUGAGAAAACAAACAGAGAAAACAACAAGUUUGAAACACAGAGAAUACAUUCAGGCAAAUCUUGUCACUCAAACAAGUUCAGAAAAGAAAAAGCGUUAGUAGAUGAAACAUGCUUAGGGUUCGAACAAAGUCCAGUAAUGGCAAGCAAGAAACAAAAUCUUAGUAAAAAUUCAGAACAGGAACAUAUGAGAUAGACAUCUAGAAGUAUGCUUAUAGAACCCAGUAGAGGGAAAAACAGAACACAAAGUAGAAGAACAUGCAUAAUAUGGCAAAACAUAAAAACACAGGAGCAGACAUGAGAGGAAAGAACAUAAGAACAUGGCAUAGACAGAUUCACACAAACAAAAGAAGAAGAAUAAAGUCAGAAGUCGUUUUAAGAUUUUCCAUAAACCCUAAAUUGAAACAGACUAAUUUUGAAAAUAAAAUUGGGAAAAAGCUUUAAAACGUUGAAUAUAGCACAGAUUCACAACAAAUCUAAGUAAAUAAAAGUGGAAGGAACCUCGAAUAGCAUUAAGGUUUCUAUGAAACCCUAGAAAUGGAAGGCUUGGAAGAGAUAUGGUCUUGAGUCACUGAUGGCCAUGUCUAGGCUUCUAAAGCUCGAAUACGUCAGAACAGGGCCAGAGAGGCCACAUGAACACAGAUAUGAGAAGAUCUGAACGAACGUCGUCGAGGCCAGACCUCAAAAUCUCGAACACCCAUGGAUUAGGAGUGAAGGAAGGUGAGCACAGGUCGCCCAUGGCCUGAAAAGUCAUGGACUCCAGCGAGAUAAUGGUCGGAGAAGACGAGGGAGGCGAUUAGGGGUUGAGUGCUUGAGAGCGUUUUGAGAGAGAAGAGAUUUCAAAGGCUGUUG
This 4378-nucleotide long non-coding RNA is filed under the name Nicotiana benthamiana. RNAcentral's name for it is "long non-coding RNA (NBEN_LNC003528)". The record is from RNAcentral. Lineage: Eukaryota; Viridiplantae; Streptophyta; Magnoliopsida; Solanales; Solanaceae.